GUCUCAGUAACACAAUGGAUUGCACUUUGAACUUCUAAUCCAAGGUCGUGGGAUCAAAUCCCACCUGGGAUG
Trichonephila clavata is the source of this 72-nucleotide non-coding RNA. NCBI's taxonomy places the organism in Eukaryota, Metazoa, Arthropoda, Arachnida, Araneae, Nephilidae. The record is from the annotation of a GenBank genome assembly.